This 25-nucleotide non-coding RNA is filed under the name Cricetulus griseus (Chinese hamster). The record is from RNAcentral. Lineage: Eukaryota; Metazoa; Chordata; Mammalia; Rodentia; Cricetidae.
AUGUGAGGAGCUUAGCAAUACUGGA